AUCCCGUAUAUAAAUAAGACAUGCAAAAUUCCAAUCUCGUACGAUUCUAGUUGUGUUUGGAUCCUUUCCACUUCGCGCAUGUCACAACCGCCGAUGCAUUAUUGUGGGCUUCUUGCAAUGCAUGGGACCAUGCAGUGAUCAUAGGAUGUCGAGAUGAGCAAUUCUUUGUGCACCGCGCGCGGUGCGCGGUGAGAUGAGCAAUUCUUUGUGCACCGCGUCGCGACCAUGCAGUGAUCGUA
RNAcentral lists this long non-coding RNA (239 nucleotides) under Elaeis guineensis (African oil palm). RNAcentral's name for it is "long non-coding RNA (EGUI_LNC032302)". The record is from RNAcentral. Lineage: Eukaryota; Viridiplantae; Streptophyta; Magnoliopsida; Arecales; Arecaceae.